RNAcentral lists this long non-coding RNA (778 nucleotides) under Sinocyclocheilus grahami. RNAcentral's name for it is "lncRNA (ENSSGRG00000027547.1)". The record is from RNAcentral. Lineage: Eukaryota; Metazoa; Chordata; Actinopteri; Cypriniformes; Cyprinidae.
GCAGUGUGAAUAUAUUCAGCAGAUGCAAAGCAGUGAGCAUUAAAAGCCAAGUGUGGAAACUACUGACAAGACAUGGACAUUAUAUCCAGCUAUUUCACUGCUCUGGUGGAGAAGAUCUACUCAAUCUUCUGGUCGACAAGCAGCAGCUCAACACCUGCAAACAGUUCGACAGCCAAUCAGAAUCAGACAGAGCCAUCAGAGAGCUCAAAUGAAAAUGACAUCCCAGUCACAAAACCUUCUGAAACAUGGGUGUCUGAGGUCCAGGAGGGGAGCAGUCCUGUACAAACCACUGUAAACUCACAUUCAGGUCAUUAUGAUCAUCCACACAUCCCGCCACAGCACUCAAACUCAUUCAGUGAUCCUGAUGAAACUACCGAAGUGGACAAGAUCAACAUCAUUGUGAAAUGUGCUGGAAAGACCAUGGAAGUGGACAUGUUCCCACUGGAAAGCAUCUUAGUUUUACUAAAGGAGGCCUGUGACUGGGCAGGGAAGAAACCAGAGAAAAUGUCACUGGUUUAUGAAGGAAACUGUCUGGAUGUGAACAAGACAGUGAGCCAGUAUGGACUACGAGGAGGAAUCACCGUACAUUUGAUUCAUGCCUAGAAAAUGAAUUCUCAGGAGAAAGUUUCUAUUUAUAAUACAAGUACACUACAUAAAAUAUUGUUUGAACUCAAUAAUUGUAUUAUUAUUAGUAGUAUUAGUAGUAGUAGUAGUAUUUAGUACUUUAAAGCAGUGUCUUGGUUUAUUGUUAAAAGCACUGCAUUGCCAUGUACAGUCU